UGCCCCAGUGAUUUUAAUGGAUAUGUUUUUUUUCCAGCAAAAAUGGUGAUAUGUGUAUGUGUUUUUGUAUGUUUAUUUAGUGCAAGUACUAAUUUUUACAAAAAAUUGUUAACAAUGCACAUCUGGUCUGGCUUGGCACUAAAAGACCUACAGUACAGUUGGGAUUAACAGCCAUCCUCCAUUGUGUAAUGAAGGGUGUUACCACUACAAGGCACUACCCAUUAUGCUCAAGGUGUCAACAUUUCAUGAGAUUUAAUAGAAGAAAAGUCAAGUUACUAAGACUAUUUAAGGAGAUAUCCUUUUAUAGGCAUACAAGUAUUUGAUGGGAGAUGCUUGAACUGAGUUCGCGCGAGAUGUCAUUUACUAUGUAAACGGUGGUUGGUGCACGAUAGAGUCACUUGAGAAGGGGGGCGUGUCCUCCAAAACGUCAGAAGUGUGCGGCAACUCACCUGUCUACCCCUUCGUGAGAGGAAGGAAGGAAGAUCAGCCUCUGUGAUGCCCGCGAAAGUGUGAAAUUUAUCCAGCCAGCUGAACUAGGACUGUCGGACGUAUCUAGUGAGCACUCUGGGUGAUAAACUUUUUGUAUUUAUUGCUGAAUAUGAAAUUGGUGGUCUGCGGAUCGAUUUUUGUACCAUG
Long non-coding RNA from Hyla sarda, 636 nucleotides. RefSeq lists it as uncharacterized. The transcript has 3 exons. The record is from RefSeq and is a predicted model, not a curated record. NCBI's taxonomy places the organism in Eukaryota, Metazoa, Chordata, Amphibia, Anura, Hylidae.